RNAcentral lists this transfer RNA (66 nucleotides) under Sphaerotheriidae sp. HYS-2012. RNAcentral describes it as "tRNA-Lys". Lineage: Eukaryota; Metazoa; Arthropoda; Diplopoda; Sphaerotheriida; Sphaerotheriidae. The record is from RNAcentral.
CAUUAGAUGGCCGAAAAUUAAGCAAUGGUCUCUUAAAUCAUAUAAUGACAAUAUUGUCUCUAAUGA